CAGUUCGGACUGUGGUCUGCAACUCGACUACAUGAAGCUGGAAUCGCUAGUAAUCGCAGAUCAGAAUGCUGCGGUGAAUACGUUCCCGGGUCUUGUACACACCGCCCGUCACACCAUGGGAGUCGGGAAUGCCCGAAGUCAGUGACCCAACCGCAAGGAGGGAGCUGCCGAAGGCAGGCUCGAUAACUGGGGUGAAGUCGUAACAAGGUACC
RNAcentral lists this ribosomal RNA (212 nucleotides) under uncultured bacterium. RNAcentral's name for it is "partial 16S ribosomal RNA". It matches the Rfam family "Bacterial small subunit ribosomal RNA", at positions 1289 to 1500 of the family's 1533-position model. The record is from RNAcentral.